CACGUAGGCACCAAGCGUUGUCCGGAUUUAUUGGGCGUAAAGAGCUCGUAGGCGGUUCAGUAAGUCGGGUGUGAAAACUUUGGGCUUAACCCAAAGCGUGCAUCCGAUACUGCUGCGACUUGAGUUCGGUAGGGGAGUGGGGAAUUCCUAGUGUAGCGGUGAAAUGCGCAGAUAUUAGGAGGAACACCGGUGGCGAAGGCGCCACUCUGGGCCGAAACUGACGCUGAGGUGCGAAAGCGUGGGGAGCAAACAGG
Molecule: ribosomal RNA, 254 nt
Filed under: uncultured bacterium
Lineage: Bacteria
Description: partial 16S ribosomal RNA
Rfam family: Bacterial small subunit ribosomal RNA
Source: RNAcentral